GGGGAAUUUUGGACAAUGGGCGCAAGCCUGAUCCAGCAAUGCCGCGUGCAGGAUGAAGGCCUUCGGGUUGUAAACUGCUUUUGUACAGAACGAAAAGCUCUUCUCUAAUACAGAGGGGUCAUGACGGUACUGUAAGAAUAAGCACCGGCUAACUACGUGCCAGCAGCCGCGGUAAUACGUAGGGUGCGAGCGUUAAUCGGAAUUACUGGGCGUAAAGCGUGCGCAGGCGGUUUUGUAAGACAGAGGUGAAAUCCCCGGGCUCAACCUGGGAACUGCCUUUGUGACUGAAAGGCUAGAGUACGGCAGAGGGGGAUGGAAUUCCGCGUGUAGCAGUGAAAUGCGUAGAUAUGCGGAGGAACACCGAUGGCGAAGGCAGUCCCCUGGGCCUGUACUGACGCUCAUGCACGAAAGCGUGGGGAGCAAAC
RNAcentral lists this ribosomal RNA (425 nucleotides) under uncultured bacterium. Its description in RNAcentral is "bacterial SSU rRNA". It matches the Rfam family "Bacterial small subunit ribosomal RNA", at positions 356 to 773 of the family's 1533-position model. The record is from RNAcentral.